CAUAGAUGGUAUUACAGGCGGCUGGUCUCUCCUCUCUCAGCCAACUAUGAGAACUAUUUGGGAUUGAAGGAGAUAAGCUACAGCAAGUCGUUACUUGUCCUGAAUGCACGACCUUCUUUCUUUGAGCAAGAGGACAAACCUGGGUAGGGAUCUCUAUGAUGUUUUCUGCGUUGCCCGUGGACGUUCAUCUUUCUGAUUUGUUAGCUGAAGAUGAGGAUCUGGAGCAGGAGCUCGGAGUGCCAUUGUUCCAUGGGCAGAUGUGCAGCAGAGAUUUCCUAGGCCGCUAAGACGUCAGGGGAGCUGAUACACACUUCCAAGAACACGGAGACAUCAAAGGGAGCUGAGAGUCCACAGCGGCAGCAAAACAGGUGCUGCUUCACAUGCCCUUUGCUAAGAGUCCUGGAGUUUGAAGUCUCCACGGCCGAUCUAAAAGCAAGUUCCUGAGGAAGGAGCCGGAAAGUUCUCUGAAACCAGUAGUGGAAGCUAGUCUCUAAUAAAACAAAAUGUUACCACGCUUCUGGAAAGAUUCCACACAUCAAACAUUGAAUAAAAAGGACAAUUCGAUUAACUGAGGCUGAUUUCUUUUGACAAAUUGACUUUGAAAAGGAAUUCAGAGCAAUAAAAAGGCCACGCCCUGACUUGAAAGCUUUAGCUGCUGGAGGGAGAAUUCACAACGCAUUUGCAAGGGGCUGCCGUAAUCAACAUGUUUGUAAAACAGGAUGAAGGACUGCCCAUAAAUUUCAAACCCAAAUGAGCAGAAAAGCACACAAAGGAGAAAAUGAUCAAUUCAAGGCCCAAAUGCCGGCGUCGUGUAAAACGUAACUCAUUGAACACACACGCGGUUGGCCCGUGUUGAACAUGCGUGACACAGCCCCGUGCAGUGGCUCACACCUGUAAUCCCAGCACUGUGGGAGCCUGAGGUGGGCAGAUCACUUGAGCUCAGGAGUUCGAACCAGCCUGGUCAACAUGGUGAAACCCCAUCUCUACUAAAAAUACAAAAAUGAGGCUGGUGUGGUGGCGUGCACCUGUAACCCCAGCUAUUCAGGGGGUUGAGGCAUGAGAAUUGCUUCAACCUGAAAGGUGUGGGUUGCAGUGAGCUCAGAUCGUGCCACUGCACUCCAGCCUGGGUGACAGAGUGAGACUCUGUGGAAAAAAAAGGAAAG
Molecule: long non-coding RNA, 1163 nt
Filed under: Homo sapiens (human)
Lineage: Eukaryota; Metazoa; Chordata; Mammalia; Primates; Hominidae
Description: HSALNT0355830
Source: RNAcentral